UUGUCGAGCCUUCGACUUUAGUCGAAAAAGCGAGACUAAGCGAUCCUACUUUCCGUCGUCGUCGGCGGCGUCCACAAAUAUUCACUCUGUGGUUAAAGUUUUUGAAAUUUUAAUAACUUUCCUAAACUAUACUGGAUUUCUACCAAACUUGGACAGAAGCUUGUUUAUGAUCAUAAGAUAGUAUCCAGAAGUAAAUUUUGUAAAAAUAAAAUUCCAUUUUUUCCGUAUUUUACUUAUAAAUGGACUUAGUUUUUUCUGCGGGGAAACAUUUCAUUCAUUCUGUGGUUAAAGUUUUUAGAAUUUUUAUAACUUUCUUAAACUAUCCUUGGUUUGUACCAAACUUGGACAGAAGCUUGUUUAUGAUCAUAAGAUAGUAUCCAAAGUAAAUUUUGUAAAAAUAAAAUUCCAUUUUUUCUGUAUUUUACUUAUAAAUGGACUUAGUUUUUUUCUGCGGGGAAACAUUACAUUCACUCUGUGGUUAAAUUUUUAGAAUUUUAAUAACUUUCUUAAACUAUCCUUGGUUUGUACCAAACUUGGACAGAAGCUUAUUUAUGAUCAUAAGAUAGUAUCCAGAAGUAAAUUUUGUAAAAAGAUAACUCCAUUUUUUCUGUAUUUUACUUUUAAAUGGACUUAGAUUUUCUUCCAGUUAAUACUUCAUACAGUCUGCAGUUAAAGUUUUCAAAACAUUUAUUAGAUUCAUUAACUAUCCUAGAUUUUUACCAAACUUGGACAGAAGCUUCUUACAAUCAAAAGAUAGUAUCAAGAGGAAUAUUUUUAUUGAUUUUUUUCCUAAUUUUUGUUGAGCCUGUGAUUUACAGCAAAAGUAGGCGAGACACUGGGUUCCGCGGAACCCUUACAAAUUUUUGAU
Molecule: long non-coding RNA, 868 nt
Organism: Mytilus trossulus (common blue mussel)
Lineage: Eukaryota; Metazoa; Mollusca; Bivalvia; Mytilida; Mytilidae
Exons: 2
Source: RefSeq, a predicted model, not a curated record